RNAcentral lists this small nucleolar RNA (198 nucleotides) under Castor canadensis (American beaver). RNAcentral describes it as "Small nucleolar RNA U3 (ENSCCNG00000029966.1)". It matches the Rfam family "Small nucleolar RNA U3". From Rfam's summary of the family: Small nucleolar RNAs (snoRNAs) are involved in the processing and modification of rRNA in the nucleolus. There are two main classes of snoRNAs: the box C/D class, and the box H/ACA class. U3 snoRNA is a member of the box C/D class. Lineage: Eukaryota; Metazoa; Chordata; Mammalia; Rodentia; Castoridae. The record is from Rfam by way of RNAcentral.
AAGACUAUACUUUCAGGGAUCAUUUCUAUAGAUCGUUACUAGAGAGGUUUCUCAUACUGGAAACCAUGAGGAGGUGACUCGUCCUCACCUGUGCGUGAAGCCGGCUCUGGGUGCUGCUGUGUUGCAGCUGCCAUUUGCCAUUAACGAUCGUUCUUUUCUUUUGGAGGAGGAAGAGCAUGAGGACAUCGUCUGAGUGGU